UUCCCUUUAGUUUAAAUGAACAUAACUUUUUCAAUGUUAAAGAUUAAAGGGACA
This 54-nucleotide transfer RNA is filed under the name Dermatophagoides farinae (American house dust mite). RNAcentral's name for it is "tRNA-Glu". The record is from RNAcentral. Lineage: Eukaryota; Metazoa; Arthropoda; Arachnida; Sarcoptiformes; Pyroglyphidae.